This 492-nucleotide ribosomal RNA is filed under the name uncultured bacterium. RNAcentral describes it as "partial 16S ribosomal RNA". It matches the Rfam family "Bacterial small subunit ribosomal RNA", at positions 29 to 507 of the family's 1533-position model. The record is from RNAcentral.
AGUGAACGCUGGCGGUAGGCCUAACACAUGCAAGUCGAACGGCAGCACAGUAAGAGCUUGCUCUUACGGGUGGCGAGUGGCGGACGGGUGAGGAAUACAUCGGAAUUUACUUUUUCGUGGGGGAUAACGUAGGGAAACUUACGCUAAUACCGCAUACGACCUACGGGUGAAAGCAGGGGAUCUUCGGACCUUGCGCGAUUGAAUGAGCCGAUGUCGGAUUAGCUAGUUGGCGGGGUAAAGGCCCACCAAGGCGACGAUCCGUAGCUGGUCUGAGAGGAUGAUCAGCCACACUGGAACUGAGACACGGUCCAGACUCCUACGGGAGGCAGCAGUGGGGAAUAUUGGACGAUGGGCGCAAGCCUGAUCCAGCCAUACCGCGUGGGUGAAGAAGGCCUUCGGGUUGUAAAGCCCUUUUGUUGGGAAAGAAAAGCAGCAGGUUAAUACCCCGCUGUUCUGACGGUACCCAAAGAAUAAGCACCGGCUAACUUCGUG